UCCCUGGUGGUCCAGUGGCUAAGACUCCAUGCUCCCAAUGUAGGGAGCCCAGGUUCAAUCCCUGGUCAGGGAA
Molecule: non-coding RNA, 73 nt
Organism: Bos taurus (domestic cattle)
Lineage: Eukaryota; Metazoa; Chordata; Mammalia; Artiodactyla; Bovidae
Source: Rfam